GACGAACGCUGGCGGCGUGCUUAACACAUGCAAGUCGAGCGAGGCCCCUCCUUCGGGAGGGUGUCCUAGCGGCGAACGGGUGAGUAACACGUGGGCAACCUGCCCUCAGCUCUGGGAUAACUCCGGGAAACCGGGGCUAAUACCGGAUACGACCUCCACGGGCAUCUGCGGAGGUGGAAAGUUUUUCGGCUGAGGAUGGGCCCGCGGCCUAUCAGCUAGUUGGUGGGGUAGUGGCCCACCAAGGCGACGACGGGUAGCCGGCCUGAGAGGGCGACCGGCCACACUGGGACUGAGACACGGCCCAGACUCCUACGGGGGGCAGCAGUGGGGAAUAUUGCGCAAUGGGCGAAAGCCUGACGCAGCGACGCCGCGUGAGGGACGAAGGCCUUCGGGUUGUAAACCUCUUUCAGCAGGGACGAAGCGAAAGUGACGGUACCUGCAGAAGAAGCACCGGCCAACUACGUG
Molecule: ribosomal RNA, 465 nt
Filed under: uncultured bacterium
Lineage: Bacteria
Description: partial 16S ribosomal RNA
Rfam family: Bacterial small subunit ribosomal RNA
Source: RNAcentral